RNAcentral lists this ribosomal RNA (229 nucleotides) under uncultured bacterium. Its description in RNAcentral is "partial 16S ribosomal RNA". It matches the Rfam family "Bacterial small subunit ribosomal RNA", at positions 568 to 796 of the family's 1533-position model. The record is from RNAcentral.
UACGUAGGCGGAAAAUUAAGUCAGUAGUGAAAUUCUGCAGCUUAACUGUAGAACUGUUAUUGAUACUGGUUUUCUUGAAUAUAGUUGAGGUAGGCGGAAUGUGUAAUGUAGCGGUGAAAUGCUUAGAUAUUACACAGAACACCGAUUGCGAAGGCAGCUUACUAAGCUAUGAUUGACGCUGAGGUACGAAAGCGUGGGGAGCGAACAGGAUUAGAUACCCUGGUAGUCC